This 412-nucleotide RNase P RNA is filed under the name Candidatus Phytoplasma mali AT. Its description in RNAcentral is "Bacterial RNase P class B". It matches the Rfam family "Bacterial RNase P class B". From Rfam's summary of the family: Ribonuclease P (RNase P) is a ubiquitous endoribonuclease, found in archaea, bacteria and eukarya as well as chloroplasts and mitochondria. Lineage: Bacteria; Bacillati; Mycoplasmatota; Mollicutes; Acholeplasmatales; Acholeplasmataceae. The record is from Rfam by way of RNAcentral.
AAUAGAAGGCGAUCGAGGGUUAAAAUUAAUUUUUAAAAUUAUUUUAAUUUUAGGAAAGUCCAUGUUAGCACAUACUUAAAGGAAUGUAUGUAGUGUUUGUGUCUAAGAAAAAAAUAACUUAGAGUACCUUAAAUUUAUUAGGUAACGGCUUUUUCAAUUCUAAGGACUAUAUAUAAUACAAACAAUAGUUUAUGAAAAGAAAAAAUAAAGUGCCACAGAGACGAGAUAAUUAUAAAUAAUUAUGUGAAACGCGGUAAACCCCUCAAGCUAACAACCCAAAAUAUGGUAGGGGCAUAUGAGAAUUAAUAAUUCCUUUUGAAAAAUAAAGUUAAUUUUUAUACUAUUUUUUUAAAAAAUAGAGAUAAAUGAUCGCACUUGUUAAAAAAACAAGAACAGAACAUGGCUUAUGCAU